Pelobates cultripes (western spadefoot toad) is the source of this 215-nucleotide non-coding RNA. The record is from the annotation of a GenBank genome assembly. Lineage: Eukaryota; Metazoa; Chordata; Amphibia; Anura; Pelobatidae.
UCCAAAUCGAGUUUAGGAUUGCCGGGGACGUGACCCGUAUCAUCGGUCUGUGUUCUUUGGGAACCCAUAUUGUAAACUGUGGCACAUCUACGCCCACCAUCAUAGAUUCGAUGUCUACCCACCUUCUCUCAUCUGGCGUGGAGUGCCACAUGGCGAUCUGCGUCAAUUGGGCCGCCAGAUAGUAGAAGUAAAGAUUUGGGAGGCCCAGACCCCCC